CUCGUCAGUGCUCAAAUCGCUGAAGUUGAGACCACCAUCGCGAGCCAAUUUGUCGGUGUCAGGGUCCAUUGCGACGAGCGUCGAAGUUGGCGUCAUAGAAUGAAGUACCAGCUUAUGGGCGUCUUGCGCUGGAGUUUGAUAAAGUUUGAAGUAUUGUAGCGGCGCCUGGUGGCGGUGCGGGAAACGACAUCUGGGUCGUACCAGCUUGGGUCGUAUUGAAACCUGGCUGUGGCGAAGCACGUUUCUAGGCCGAGAAAAAAGUGCGUCGAUUCGCACUUUUUUAUGCCCUGUUGCGAGUGCGAAAAGGCUCGUCACUUCUCACAGACCACGCCGACCACGCUGCGAGCUCGCCGCAGCCUAUAGUUUAACGAAAACGGACUCUCCGUGUGCCGUGGGACGUAAUGCUGGGAACAGAAGGAAUCGGCGACGCCGCUCCGGAGAGACCUAGCCCAGCCUCGAAAAGGCGUCACCGUCAUUACUUCUGCGUCGUGGGCUGCCAUGAACAAGAAGGCCUGAAUCCCAACACCAGAUUCUACAGUUUUCCUUCAUGGCCACAAGUGGAGCUUCGGGCGCGCUGCAUAGCUGCAGUUCGUCGCGCAGAAUAAGGCACCAAAGCAGAGCGUGGUAUUUGGAAGAUGGCACACCAGCCAUCUACUUCAUGGCGAGAUGACGGGCAACCAUUGGGCUACCCAAACAAAAAGAAGCCCCAAGUUGCCAGGCAACAGGAACAAACAAGACGCUUCCAAGAUAAACCUGAGAUGGCAGAGGCACAAGCAAGUUUCACGUCUGUGGAGUUAAGGGGACUCACUAAAUUUUUUUUUUCUCCGCGGAAGUGUGAAAAGGACAUUCCCACUGAGAUGUCACAAACAUUAGGGGAGUAGUGUUCUUCCUACAGCACAGCAAAAAACUGGGUUUCUCAUUUCAGGACAGGGCAUUUUAUCAUUGAAGAUGAACCCCGCAGUGGGCACCCCCCAACCUCAACAGAUCCAGUAACAAGCGAUGCUGUCCAUAAGCUGCUUCUUGAGGAUAGGCGAAUAUCCACCAUAAAGAUAGCCCAGUUUCUGGACAUCUUCCGGGAACGUAUUGGUUUCAUUAAUACCAAUUUCCUACAUAUGCACAAGCAUUCAGUGAAGUGGGUGCCAAAAUGUUUGAACAGUGAACAGAAAUUGGCACGAGUUGAGGCAUCCAGAGCUGCUUUGGCCCAUUUUGAUGAUACAAAGGAUUUUUUUUGGCUAGGUUAGUGACCGAGGAUGAAACCUGGUUUCACAUUUCUGACCCAGAAACCAAGGAACAGUCAAAGCAAUGGCGUCACAGUGGGUCCCCAUGACCGAAAAAGUCCAAAAAAGUGAUGGCGUCCACUUCCUGGGACAAAGGCGGUGUUAUUUUGGCGGACUACCUGCGUCAGGGCUGUAGUAUAACCAGAGAGUACUACACUAGCCUCCUGGAGCAGUUGGAGGCAGUAAACACGAAACACCGGAGAAAGUUGUCCAAAGGGAUCCUUGUGUAGCAGGACAAUGCACCUUCACAUGUCAAAAGUUGUAGCUGCUAAACUGAAAACCCUGGGUUUCCAAUUGGUCCACCAUUGCCCCUAUUUACCUGACCUGGCACCUUCCGACUACCACUGUUUCCUAAUUUAACAGAACACCUGAAGGGUCGCCAUUUUGACGAUAUUGUUGAUGUCAAGCAUGCUGCAGAGAGCUGGUUGACGACCUACCACAAGAUGGACUAGAAAAGCAGAAACAAUGAUGUAAUGAGUGCAUCAGUCUGAGGGGGGAACAUGUUGAAUAAACGUGUACUUUCAAAACUUUGACUAUUCUUUAUAUGCAAAGCCAGGAACUUUUCAGCACCCCCUCAUAAAUAACUGAUAAAAAAGUUAUAAUGACAUAUUUCAAAAUACAGAAAAAAAUGCAGUUUGGCCAAUUGUUCGACCUACAUAUGAACUUCCUGAUGCUACCUCUUCACACUGCUGUCAGCACUAUUUGAAGUAGUGUGGUAUUUUUUCUUUGCAUGCCUCUGACUCAAAGCAUGCGAUAGUGCCUGGCAGAGCAAGACCACCAAUAUUGCUGAUGUACAGUUGGUUCCACGUAAAUCACCCUUGUUUAUCAUGAGUGAUUUGGAUUGUGUAAGAGCUACAUGGCCUUUCCAACUGCAAUAUUUUCUGCAUUGAGUGAUUAAAAGUUCACCUUUAGUAUCCCCUUUUAUGUGAACUUAGAUCAGUAGAUUAUAGUACUUUUGAAGUGCAAAUAUGUGAUUUUUUACUGAUAACAGCAAGUUGGUAAGCCUGCAGGGAACAAUGUAGAAGCAAGGACAGGCAGUGACUCGAACUGCCGCUGUGUCCUUCAUUCCAUUCAUCUUUUCCCGUGCAUUGUUAUUCUAUUUCCCACAAACAAUGUUUCAGCCAUGGAGCUGUUCUGGCAUGGCCAAGUUCAAAACUGCAAGCACCUCUACUGAGGUGGCCAUAGUUGCCUGUGUAACAUUCGCACCUGUCCCCGUUUUCACAUGUGACGCAUUCUGCAAAUCGUAACAUUUUAGUGGGAGUGCGCUACUUUGUAGAAUAGCAUAUUUCUUAACCAUACUGCCCUAUAUGCUUGAAACAUUUCAUCCACACGCUGGUAACUAUUAUUUAUUUUAGUUAAAAUUCAGUUUGGGUUCACCAUGUUUCAAGACUAUUGGUUUGAAUAUGGUUUUCAGUUCAGGUUCAGUUCAACACCCUGACAAUAACUCUAGAUACUGGCACAAAUAUUCACUGCAUGUUCCUCAAUUUUUCUAUAGGUCAAUUGUCCUUCCCUUAGCGAUAAUUUUGGUGGAUGCUUCUAAAUGAAGCACACACAUGCACGCAUUUAUGGAGAGAGGAAAAAAACUAGGAGAGAAUAAUGUUAGGUAGUUAUCCUCAGCAAGGCAACCUCCUUUGACACUGCCCCUUUUUUCUCUUUUCCCUUCAAGGCCCAUGAACACAUUGACUCUAGGGAAAUAAGCCUGGGCAUGAAGGACAGAUCUUUCAAGGCAUUGUUUGGUUUGAGGUGGCUUUUAGUUAUGCUCAGGUUACAAUCAGCCUAUGCUACCAAUUUUCCACUCUACUCUCUGCGACACAUGAGGUAGCUAGAAAUUACCACUUGCCUAUCACAUAGUGUGGGGUGGUUUCCCAUUGGCCUUCCUUUAUAUUUUUUUUAUGACGAGGCUUCACGCAUGAUGCUCCCUUGUCUUUUUAUUUCCAUCAUGCAUGCAUUGUAGUAAGCAGCUAAAGUACCACAAUGCAUGAUGGUGAAUGCAAAAUUAUAUAGAUAUAUGCAUACGUACAUACCCAAUUGAUAAUCAUUCAAGGGUCAAACUGUGGAAUGACCAAUUUGAAAGUUUGUGCUUGUUUUGCCAUUUGCCUUUGUGUGUUCUUCACUCUCAGUCCCAGCAUAGUUUGAAGCAUGUUCCUAGAGGAUACCUGCUGGUCAUCGCAUUCCACUAAGCACAUAUGAGUCAUUGCCAGGGGAAAUUAAUCAAGAAUGCUUCAAAAAU
Long non-coding RNA from Dermacentor albipictus, 3507 nucleotides. RefSeq lists it as uncharacterized. Lineage: Eukaryota; Metazoa; Arthropoda; Arachnida; Ixodida; Ixodidae. The record is from RefSeq and is a predicted model, not a curated record.